Molecule: non-coding RNA, 68 nt
Organism: Trichonephila inaurata madagascariensis
Lineage: Eukaryota; Metazoa; Arthropoda; Arachnida; Araneae; Nephilidae
Source: the annotation of a GenBank genome assembly
GUCCCUGUAGCGCAAUGGGUAGCGCGUUGGACUUCUAAUCCAAAUGAUUUCGAAUCCCACUUGGGAUG